Molecule: ribosomal RNA, 460 nt
Filed under: uncultured bacterium
Lineage: Bacteria
Description: partial 16S ribosomal RNA
Rfam family: Bacterial small subunit ribosomal RNA
Source: RNAcentral
CCUACGGGAGGCAGCAGUGAGGAAUAUUGGUCAAUGGACGAGAGUCUGAACCAGCCAAGUAGCGUGAAGGAUGACUGCCCUAUGGGUUGUAAACUUCUUUUAUAUGGGAAUAAAACGUUCCACGUGUGGGAUUUUGUAUGUACCAUAUGAAUAAGGAUCGGCUAACUCCGUGCCAGCAGCCGCGGUAAUACGGAGGAUCCGAGCGUUAUCCGGAUUUAUUGGGUUUAAAGGGAGCGUAGGUGGAUUGUUAAGUCAGUUGUGAAAGUGUGCGGCUCAACCGUAGAAUUGCAGUUGAUACUGGCAGUCUUGAGUACAGUAGAGGUAGGCGGAAUUCGUGGUGUAGCGGUGAAAUGCUUAGAUAUCACGAAGAACUCCGAUUGCGAAGGCAGUUCACUAGACUGCAACUGACACUGAGGCUCGAAAGUGUGGGUAUCAAACAGGAUUAGAUACCCGGGUAGUC